GCUUGCUUUGGCAACACAGAUACUAAAAUUGGAAUGAUACAGAGAUUAGCGUGGCCCCUGUGCAAGGAUGAUAUGCAAAUUUGUGAAGCAUUCCAUAUUUUU
Molecule: small nuclear RNA, 102 nt
Organism: Lutra lutra (Eurasian river otter)
Lineage: Eukaryota; Metazoa; Chordata; Mammalia; Carnivora; Mustelidae
Source: RefSeq, a predicted model, not a curated record